AGAGUUUGAUCCUGGCUCAGGAUGAACGCUAGCGGCAGGCUUAACGCAUGCAAGUCGAGGGGUAUAGUAGCAAUACUAGAGACCGGCGCACGGGUGCGUAACGCGUAUGCAAUCUACCUUUCACAGAGGGAUAGCCCAGAGAAAUUUGGAUUAAUACCUCAUAGUAUAAUGACUCGGCAUCGAGAUAUUAUUAAAGUCACAACGGUGAAAGAUGAGCAUGCGUCCCAUUAGCUUGUUGGUAAGGUAACGGCUUACCAAGGCAACGAUGGGUAGGGGUCCUGAGAGGGAGAUCCCCCACACUGGUACUGAGACACGGACCAGACUCCUACGGGAGGCAGCAGUGAGGAAUAUUGGACAAUGGGCGCAAGCCUGAUCCAGCCAUGCCGCGUGCAGGAUGACGGUCCUAUGGAUUGUAAACUGCUUUUGGACAGGAAGAAACACUCCCUCGUGAGGGAGCUUGACGGUACUGUAAGAAUAAGGAUCGGCUAACUCCGUGCCAGCAGCCGCGGUAAUACGGAGGAUCCAAGCGUUAUCCGGAAUCAUUGGGUUUAAAGGGUCCGUAGGCGGCCUUAUAAGUCAGUGGUGAAAUCUCCCCGCUCAACGGGGAAACGGCCAUUGAUACUGUAGGGCUUGAAUUAUUAGGAAGUAACUAGAAUAUGUAGUGUAGCGGUGAAAUGCUUAGAGAUUACAUGGAAUACCAAUUGCGAAGGCAGGUUACUACUAAUGGAUUGACGCUGAUGGACGAAAGCGUGGGUAGCGAACAGGAUUAGAUACCCUGGUAGUCCACGCCGUAAACGAUGGAUACUAGCUGUUGGGAGCAAUCUCAGUGGCUAAGCGAAAGUGAUAAGUAUCCCACCUGGGGAGUACGAACGCAAGUUUGAAACUCAAAGGAAUUGACGGGGGCCGCACAAGCGGUGGAGCAUGUGGUUU
This 930-nucleotide ribosomal RNA is filed under the name uncultured bacterium. Its description in RNAcentral is "bacterial SSU rRNA". It matches the Rfam family "Bacterial small subunit ribosomal RNA", at positions 8 to 947 of the family's 1533-position model. The record is from RNAcentral.